This 1267-nucleotide ribosomal RNA is filed under the name Nocardia sp. Its description in RNAcentral is "bacterial SSU rRNA". It matches the Rfam family "Bacterial small subunit ribosomal RNA", at positions 133 to 1413 of the family's 1533-position model. Lineage: Bacteria; Bacillati; Actinomycetota; Actinomycetes; Mycobacteriales; Nocardiaceae. The record is from RNAcentral.
GCACUUCGGGAUAAGCCUGGGAAACUGGGUCUAAUACCGGAUAUGACCACGAGAUGCAUGUCUUGUGGUGGAAAGAUUUAUCGGUGCGAGAUGGGCCCGCGGCCUAUCAGCUUGUUGGUGAGGUAACGGCUCACCAAGGCGACGACGGGUAGCCGACCUGAGAGGGUGACCGGCCACACUGGGACUGAGACACGGCCCAGACUCCUACGGGAGGCAGCAGUGGGGAAUAUUGCACAAUGGGCGAAAGCCUGAUGCAGCGACGCCGCGUGCGGGAUGACGGCCUUCGGGUUGUAAACCGCUUUUGACAGGGACGAAGCGCAAGUGACUGUACCUGUAGAAUAAGGACCGGCCAACUACGUGCCAGCAGCCGCGGUAAUACGUAGGGUCCGAGCGUUGUCCGGAAUUACUGGGCGUAAAGAGCUUGUAGGCGGUUCGUCGCGUCGUUUGUGAAAACUUGGGGCUCAACCUUAAGCUUGCAGGCGAUACGGGCGGACUAGAGUACUUCAGGGGAGACUGGAAUUCCUGGUGUAGCGGUGAAAUGCGCAGAUAUCAGGAGGAACACCGGUGGCGAAGGCGGGUCUCUGGGAAGUAACUGACGCUGAGAAGCGAAAGCAUGGGUAGCAAACAGGAUUAGAUACCCUGGUAGUCCAUGCCGUAAACGGUGGGUACUAGGUGUGGGGCUCCUUCCACGGACUCCGUGCCGUAGCUAACGCAUUAAGUACCCCGCCUGGGGAGUACGGCCGCAAGGCUAAAACUCAAAGAAAUUGACGGGGGCCCGCACAAGCGGCGGAGCAUGUGGAUUAAUUCGAUGCAACGCGAAGAACCUUACCUGGGUUUGACAUACACCGGAAACCUGCAGAGAUGUAGGCCCCCUUGUGGUCGGUGUACAGGUGGUGCAUGGCUGUCGUCAGCUCGUGUCGUGAGAUGUUGGGUUAAGUCCCGCAACGAGCGCAACCCUUAUCUUAUGUUGCCAGCGCGUAAUGGCGGGGACUCGUGAGAGACUGCCGGGGUCAACUCGGAGGAAGGUGGGGACGACGUCAAGUCAUCAUGCCCCUUAUGUCCAGGGCUUCACACAUGCUACAAUGGCCGGUACAGAGGGCUGCGAUACCGCGAGGUGGAGCGAAUCCCUUAAAGCCGGUCUCAGUUCGGAUCGGGGUCUGCAACUCGACCCCGUGAAGUUGGAGUCGCUAGUAAUCGCAGAUCAGCAACGCUGCGGUGAAUACGUUCCCGGGCCUUGUACACACCGCCCGUCACGUCAUGAAAGUCG